GGUUUCGUAGCUCAAAUAGUAGGGCAGGUUCCUAAUGUGAACACUUCGGCGUUUGGUUCGAUUCCAGCCGAAGCCU
Molecule: non-coding RNA, 76 nt
Organism: Paragonimus heterotremus
Lineage: Eukaryota; Metazoa; Platyhelminthes; Trematoda; Plagiorchiida; Troglotrematidae
Source: the annotation of a GenBank genome assembly